Molecule: ribosomal RNA, 495 nt
Filed under: uncultured bacterium
Lineage: Bacteria
Description: bacterial SSU rRNA
Rfam family: Bacterial small subunit ribosomal RNA
Source: RNAcentral
AUGAACGCUAGCGACAGGCCUAACACAUGCAAGUCAGGGGCAGCACAAGGAGCAAUCUGAGGUGGCGACCGGCGCACGGGUGAGUAACACGUAUGCAACCUGCCUGUAAGCGGGGAAUAACCCGUUGAAAGACGGACUAAUACCGCAUAAUACUAAAUUACUGCAUGGUAAUUUAUUUAGACAUUUAUGGCUUACAGAUGGGCAUGCGCAUGAUUAGCUAGUUGGAGAGGUAACGGCUCCCCAAGGCAACGAUCAUUAGGGGUUCUGAGAGGGAGGUCCCCCACACUGGUACUGAGACACGGACCAGACUCCUACGGGAGGCAGCAGUGAGGAAUAUUGGUCAAUGGACGAGAGUCUGAACCAGCCAAGUCGCGUGCAGGAAGAAUGUCCUUAAUGGAUUGUAAACUGCUUUUGCAGGGGAAUAAAGUGCAUCACGUGUGAUGUUUUGUAUGUACUCUGCGAAUAAGGAUCGGCUAACUCCGUGCCAGCAGCUGC